UGCAAGUCGAGGGGCAGCAUAAUGGUAGUAAUACUAUUGAUGGCGACCGGCGGACGGGUGAGUAACGCGUAUGCAACCUGCCCUUCACAGGGGGAUAACCGGGAGAAAUUCCGACUAAUACCGCAUACGUCCUCCGGGGGCAUCCCCGGGGGAUGAAAGAGUUAUCGGUGAAGGAUGGGCAUGCGUGAUAUUAGGUAGUUGGCGGGGCAACGGCCCACCAAGCCUACGAUAUCUAGGGGUUCUGAGAGGAAGGUCCCCACAUUGGUACUGAGACACGGACCAAACUCC
Molecule: ribosomal RNA, 288 nt
Filed under: uncultured bacterium
Lineage: Bacteria
Description: partial 16S ribosomal RNA
Rfam family: Bacterial small subunit ribosomal RNA
Source: RNAcentral